ACGGUGAGUAACACGUAUCCAACCUGCCGUCUACUCUUGGACAGCCUUCUGAAAGGAAGAUUAAUACAAGAUGGCAUCAUGAGUUCACAUGUUCACAUGAUUAAAGAUAUUCCGGUAGACGAUGGGGAUGCGUUCCAUUAGAUAGUAGGCGGGGUAACGGCCCACCUAGUCUUCGAUGGAUAGGGGUUCUGAGAGGAAGGUCCCCCACAUUGGAACUGAGACACGGUCCAA
Molecule: ribosomal RNA, 231 nt
Filed under: uncultured bacterium
Lineage: Bacteria
Description: partial 16S ribosomal RNA
Rfam family: Bacterial small subunit ribosomal RNA
Source: RNAcentral